CUCAUCUUGAUCAGAAGUCGGACAGUGUUCAAGAAGCGAAAUCAAAGACAGAGCAAAUGAAUAAGAGAUGAAAGUAAAGUGUCAAGGAGGGCAGAGGAAGGAAGGAAGAAAGGAUAAAAUAACAGAUGGUAAGAUGGAGCAAAAUCCAGGGUGAUGUUAAAAUGGACAGGCAAAGGGAUGAGAAGUGGUUGAUGAAAGAGGAUGAACAAGAAAGAAGGAGAGAAAAGAAAGAGAAGGGAGAGAUUUGGCACGGGCAGGGGAUUAGACAGAUGAACUGCAGUCACCAGAUGCCCAAGCCUCAAAACUAGAAACAUGUGGAGACAUCAACACAAUAAAUGUUUAAAAAAAUA
This 350-nucleotide long non-coding RNA is filed under the name Salmo salar (Atlantic salmon). RNAcentral describes it as "lncRNA (ENSSSAG00000091965.1)". The record is from RNAcentral. Lineage: Eukaryota; Metazoa; Chordata; Actinopteri; Salmoniformes; Salmonidae.